CUUAUUUUUAAUAUUUGUCUUAAGGUACUGGGACAUGGCCAGGAGAGCCAGCCCCACAGACUUCCCCAAGCAACAGUCUGAGACCAUUCAUCAGCCCAGCUAUUUUAAUCUGCCUUGGCUGCCAAACAUGGGCAUUAUAGUUUACAAAAUAAUAUGAGACCCAGUGCCUAUUUUCAUGGAAUCCAGUCCAGGUGCCCACAGUGGCUGGGAGCCUCUGGAGUCCACUCUGUAAUCAGAUCCUAGACCACAGGUUUAUUAUCAGCUAUGAGUCUUAGAUUCCUCAUAGGGCAAAGUGGGAAAAACACUGGCAAAUUGAUAGCAUCCAGUGUUAGGGAUUAUCAUGAUAAACUCUUGAAAACAAUGAGGCAGUUAGGAGUAAGUUCCAAGAGACCACUUAGAGACACAUUUUGUUCUAAGACACUGAUAUGUCCAUUCAGUCAUAAUGUCUUUGAGGCAAGACUGAGGGCACAGUAAGGAAAAGUAAAUAGGAGAGCAAAAGGCAGACUGCAGGAGAGGUGAGGCGUGCCCCAUGAAUAGGGUACAGGUAGAAGAAGAGGCAUCACAGGCACGCUGUGGAGAGGGGGCAUAUGUGUCUGCUCUGAGACAUACCUCCUGUGCUGGUGAGCCAGAGGCCUGGAUCCCAGUCUUGCCUCUGACACUUAUUAAUGGGAGCUCAGGGAAGACAUUCAAGUUAUCCAAGCCAAUUUUCCUCGUCCAAAACGGGUUUGUCCACAAACCUUGUAUGGGGCUUAUGAGGAUGAAAGAGAAUGUACAAUCAGUCCUGAACAGACUGUAGCUGUUGUUAUUUUUAUUGGUCUGUGUGGAACACAGUGAGUGGACCAAAUUGCCCACAGCAGCAAGCUAGAGCUGGAUAAAGGUGAUGAAAAGUCCAGAGUGGGAGGCUUUUUACCUCAGGGAUAAAAUUCAGGGAAAAAUGAAGGAAAAGCAACAUGGAGACAGAUGUCUAGAAGAACAUGCCAACAGCAGGUCAGUAUCACAAAAGCCCAAACUUAUUUUUACCAAAACUGUUUUUAUUCAACUAAUGGUUAUACCCAUUUGAGUAUGCCUUAUCCAAAAUCUGAGGUACAGAAAUGUUUCAGAAUUAGGAUUUCUUUUUAUUUUGGAGUAUCUGUAUGUACAUGAGGAAAUAUCUUGGAGAUGGCACCCAUGUCUGAACACAAAAUUCAUUUGUGAUUCACAUACACACAUACACCCAUAGUCUGAAAGUGAUUUUCUAUAAUAUUUUUUAAUGCACUUGUGUUUUGACUGUGACCCAUCACACAAAGUCAGGAGUAGAAUCUUCCACUUUCAGUAUUACAUUGUCUCAAAUCAUUUCAAAUUUUGGAGCAUUUGGAUUUGGGAUAUUCCAAUUAGGGAUAAUGAACCAGUAAAUACCAAUUCUGUGCCUUCUCAGUGCUAGACACUUGAGUCUGGUGAUGAUCAAAGGUGAUACAGCCCCCACUGUCAAAAAGCUAACCUUCUAGUGCCUCCUCUUAUCUGCUGAACCAAGUCUUCAUGCCAGGUACAUUUUUCUCUCCUCCAAAUAAACAACCUAAAAUUCCCUGACUAGUACUCCCCAAGAUUUUGAAAAGGAAGAAUAAUCUAACAGUCUCUCAUGUUGAUUUUAAAAAACAAAAAGUCCUCAACACAUAUUAAUUAGAUUGAAUUUCAAAAAUUCAAAUUAGAGUCCUUCUCAAGUUAAAGAAAGGGAGCAGUGGGGAUGAGCAUUUGAAAACUAUGCUUUCUUUCUCUCUGGUGGCAUUAAAUGAAAAACAACCACUUUUUGUUAUAUUCAUUUGCUACCAAGAAAACUUCUGGAUAUCAACUUUUGAAGUAUGAAGUACAAGGAAUUUAAAUUCUAGUAAUAGAGAGAUCUAUACGAUCUGAAAUUAAGAAAAACAUGACAUUGCAUAGGUGGAAGGAAAAGAGGAAUUCACAUUUUUUGCUCAAGUACAGUUGCAUAUUUAUGUUUCAUCCGCUCAAGUAUUCUUUGAGGAUGCAUCAAUAUUCUGAGUAUAGAGAAACUGAUUCUCAGAAAGAUUUAAAAGAGUGCACUCAAAGUCACACUGCAGAUUAGUGAUGGAGCUGAGCUCAAACUGAGGGUUUCUAACUCACAACCACACAAUCUCCACUAAGUCCUUCUUCCUUAAACUCACUUCUCAGCAAAGAAAACAUUUUGUGAAGAACAAAAACAGUACUUACUGAGUGGCAGUCUUCCUGGUAAAUUCUCAAUUAAGUAACCCCAGGAAAGGAAAGAAAUCAAGGUAUGAAAAGAAUGUGAACUCUGUAGGAAGAGCAGUAAUGAUACUCACUACCUUUCACCAUCUACCAGGCAAGCACACCAUCUAAACUCAACCAGUGAACUUCCAUUACCUCCUCCUCCCAGGAAAUCUGCUUUUCCCCCUGACCACACCAGUGUUCCCAUACAAGUCAUGGAGUGCAUUUGUUCAAAAGCAUAAUCAUAUCCUAUAUUGGGCGUCAUAAUGUUAAAAUCAAAGAAACAAGAUUUCUAAGGCACUUGUAGUAGAGAUUGCUAGUUGCCCACAACAGCCUCCCUUUCUUUUUCCAUCCUAUUAAGUCUUGAUUCUGCUGAAGAGAGCUAUCUCCUAGACUCAGAACCUGCAUUUCCUAACUUCCCUUCAUACCAGAGUUCCCUGGAUGAAACAAUCCCACCUGUAAGUAGAAGCUCCUGGUUAUUCCAGAGAAUCACUUACAUGGAAUAAAAUUAGCCAGCCUACCCUUGUUCCUUCCCACUGUCUGUGCAAAGACUGUGCACAGGGUGGCUGGAGAUAUGCAUCUCUCUAUAUAUAAAAGGUAAAAGGACCUAGACUAGGAAAGAAACAAUAAAAGCAAAAAGGAACCUGGUUGCCUAAGGACACUGUAAAAGUACACAUCAGCUUUGGCCUGAUCCUUCUUAUAAAGUGAAAGAAAAAUAAAUAUCUUCCUUGUUUAAUCUACUGUCCUUUCAC
RNAcentral lists this long non-coding RNA (2969 nucleotides) under Marmota monax (woodchuck). The record is from RNAcentral. Lineage: Eukaryota; Metazoa; Chordata; Mammalia; Rodentia; Sciuridae.